GCCGGUGGUGGCUUAGUGGAGAGAGUGCAGGAGAAGAAGAAGGACCUGGGGGAGACCAGGGUUCAAAUCCCCCCCCCCGGCU
Podarcis lilfordi (Lilford's wall lizard) is the source of this 82-nucleotide non-coding RNA. The record is from the annotation of a GenBank genome assembly. NCBI's taxonomy places the organism in Eukaryota, Metazoa, Chordata, Lepidosauria, Squamata, Lacertidae.